RNAcentral lists this ribosomal RNA (417 nucleotides) under uncultured bacterium. RNAcentral describes it as "bacterial SSU rRNA". It matches the Rfam family "Bacterial small subunit ribosomal RNA", at positions 362 to 776 of the family's 1533-position model. The record is from RNAcentral.
UAUUGGGCAAUGGAGGCAACUCUGACCCAGCCAUGCCGCGUGCAGGAAGACGGUCCUCUGGAUUGUAAACUGCUUUUGAAUGGGAAGAACAACACUCUUGCGAGAGUGUCUGACGGUACUAUUAGAAUAAGCACCGGCUAACUCCGUGCCAGCAGCCGCGGUAAUACGGAGGGUGCAAGCGUUAUCCGGAUUUAUUGGGUUUAAAGGGUGCGUAGGCGGCUUUUUAAGUCUGGGGUUAAAGGCGGCAGCUUAACUGUACGCAUGCCUUGGAAACUGGGGAGCUUGAGAUACUUGGAGGUAGCUAGAAUUCCCUGUGUAGCGGUGAAAUGCAUAGAUACGGGGAGGAAUACCGAUUGCGAAGGCAUGUUACUACGAGUAAACUGACGCUGAUGCACGAAAGCGUGGGGAUCAAACAGG